This 115-nucleotide non-coding RNA is filed under the name Paenibacillus sp. Its description in RNAcentral is "TPP sequence". It matches the Rfam family "TPP riboswitch aptamer (THI element)". From Rfam's summary of the family: Vitamin B(1) in its active form thiamin pyrophosphate (TPP) is an essential coenzyme that is synthesised by coupling of pyrimidine and thiazole moieties in bacteria. The record is from RNAcentral. Lineage: Bacteria; Bacillati; Bacillota; Bacilli; Caryophanales; Paenibacillaceae.
AAUACGGAAUACGGGUGCUUGAGUGAAUCAGGCUGAGAUAGCAGAUGCGGAUCCCGCUGCUGACCGUCAAUCUGAACUGGGUAAUGCCAGCGUAGAGAAUAUCCCGACCCUGAAC